Myotis davidii is the source of this 146-nucleotide non-coding RNA. NCBI's taxonomy places the organism in Eukaryota, Metazoa, Chordata, Mammalia, Chiroptera, Vespertilionidae. The record is from Rfam.
AACCCUAUGGCAAUGGGCAAGGAGACACCUGAUUGAAUGGUGUUGCUCUAUAUCAAUCAGGGGCAAAGCAGAUGUAGAGUUCUUAGUUUAUCCUAGCUUGAGGCUUGUGUCAAUGGCCAGAGCUGUUUCAUGCCUGAGGCACAUAA